GAUGAAGAACGUAGCGAAAUGCGAUAAGUAAUGUGAAUUGCAGAAUUCAGUGAAUCAUCGAAUCUUUGAACGCACAUUGCGCCCGCCAGUAUUCUGGCGGGCAUGCCUGUUCGAGUGUCAUUUCAACCAUCAAGCCCCCGGCUUGUGUUGGGGACCUGCGGCUGCCGCAGGCCCUGAAAAGCAGUGGCGGGCUCGCUGUCACACCGAGCGUAGUAGCAUACAUCUCGCUCUGGGCGUGCUGCGGGUUCCGGCCGUUAAACCACCUUCAUAACCCAAGGUUGACCUCGGAUCAGGUAGGAAGACCCGCUGAACUUAAGCAUAUCAAUAAGCGGAGGA
RNAcentral lists this unclassified non-coding RNA (336 nucleotides) under soil metagenome. Its description in RNAcentral is "partial contains 5.8S ribosomal RNA, internal transcribed spacer 2, and large subunit ribosomal RNA". The stretch from base 1 to 120 matches the Rfam family "5.8S ribosomal RNA", at positions 35 to 154 of the family's 154-position model. The record is from RNAcentral.